GCUGGGCAUGGUGGCAUGCACCUAUAGUACCAGCUACUCAGGAGCUGAAGCGGGAGGAUCACUUGAGCCUAGGAGUUCUGGGCUGUGGUGUGCUAUGCCAAUCAGGUGUCUGCACUAAGUUUGACAUCAAUAUGGUGACCUCCGAGGAGCAAGGGACCACCAGGUUGCCUAAGGAGGGAUGAAUUGGCCCAGGUUGGAAACGGAGCAGGGCAGCACUCCCUUGCUGAUCAGCAGCCUGGGCAAUACAGCGAGACCCUGUCUCUA
Molecule: signal recognition particle RNA, 264 nt
Filed under: Nomascus leucogenys (northern white-cheeked gibbon)
Lineage: Eukaryota; Metazoa; Chordata; Mammalia; Primates; Hylobatidae
Description: Metazoan signal recognition particle RNA
Rfam family: Metazoan signal recognition particle RNA
About the family: The signal recognition particle (SRP) is a universally conserved ribonucleoprotein.
Source: Rfam by way of RNAcentral